This 460-nucleotide ribosomal RNA is filed under the name uncultured bacterium. RNAcentral describes it as "partial 16S ribosomal RNA". It matches the Rfam family "Bacterial small subunit ribosomal RNA", at positions 338 to 795 of the family's 1533-position model. The record is from RNAcentral.
CCUACGGGAGGCAGCAGUGAGGAAUAUUGGUCAAUGGACGAGAGUCUGAACCAGCCAAGUCGCGUGAAGGAUGACUGCCCUAUGGGUUGUAAACUUCUUUUAUAAAGGAAUAAAACGAGGCACGUGUGCCUUUUUGCAUGUACUUUAUGAAUAAGGAUCGGCUAACUCCGUGCCAGCAGCCGCGGUAAUACGGAGGAUCCGAGCGUUAUCCGGAUUUAUUGGGUUUAAAGGGAGCGUAGAUGGGUUUUUAAGUCAGUUGUGAAAGUUUGCGGCUCAACCGUAAAAUUGCAAUUGAUACUGGCAGUCUUGAGUACAGUUGAGGUAGGCGGAAUUCGUGGUGUAGCGGUGAAAUGCGUAGAUAUUACGAAGAACACCGAUGGCGAAGGCAGCUUACUAAACUGUGACUGACAUUGAGGCUCGAAAGCGUGGGUAGCAAACAGGAUUAGAUACCCGAGUAGUC